GACGAACGCUGGCGGCGUGCUUAACACAUGCAAGUCGAACGGAAAGGCCCUGCUUUUGUGGGGUGCUCGAGUGGCGAACGGGUGAGUAACACGUGAGUAACCUGCCCUUGACUUUGGGAUAACUUCAGGAAACUGGGGCUAAUACCGGAUAGGAGCUCCUGCUGCAUGGUGGGGGUUGGAAAGUUUCGGCGGUUGGGGAUGGACUCGCGGCUUAUCAGCUUGUUGGUGGGGUAGUGGCUUACCAAGGCUUUGACGGGUAGCCGGGCUGAGAGGGUGACCGGCCACAUUGGGACGGAAAUACGGCCCAGACUCCUACGGGAGGCAGCAGUGGGGAAUAUUGCACAAUGGGCGGAAGCCUGAUGCAGCAACGCCGCGUGCGGGAUGACGGCCUUCGGGUUGUAAACCGCUUUCGCCUGUGACGAAGCGUGAGUGACGGUAAUGGGUAAAGAAGCACCGGCUAACUACGUG
RNAcentral lists this ribosomal RNA (468 nucleotides) under uncultured bacterium. Its description in RNAcentral is "partial 16S ribosomal RNA". It matches the Rfam family "Bacterial small subunit ribosomal RNA", at positions 28 to 507 of the family's 1533-position model. The record is from RNAcentral.